Molecule: transfer RNA, 67 nt
Filed under: Polypedilum sp.
Lineage: Eukaryota; Metazoa; Arthropoda; Insecta; Diptera; Chironomidae
Description: tRNA-Arg
Source: RNAcentral
AAAUAAGAAACAAAUUUUGUGAUUAGUUUCGACCUAAUUUUUGAUAGAAUGACCCUAUCCUUAUUUU